CACACCCGCCCCUCGGCGCGCUGAUCACAUCUCGCGAUGAUUGCGCGGCAGUUGCGUUGUUCGGGCGAGCCGACGACGAGACUAUAGCUGUCUGGAAAUUUGUCUCGUGGUUUAGACUAAAAGGUAUUAUUCAUAUUGGACAUUUUGUAUACCCGCGACCAGAUACUCGUAACCGCAUUUUACCGCGCGCCACUGUCCGUGUCCCGAAUCAGAGCGGACGAUGUCUGAUGCUGAGGUGAACGGCAGCUCCGCUCCGGUGAAAGAGGAAGAGGAGCCCAUGGAUGUGGCCACCACGCACACAGAGAACUACCAGACGCUGGUGGAUGCCGGGCUGCCCCAGAAAGUAGCUGAAAGUCUAGAUAACAUCUUCCAGACAGGCUUGGUGGAGUAUGUUGACCUGGACGAAAGGGCCAUUGAUGCACUGCGUGAAUUCAAUGAGGAGGGAGCGCUUACUGUGCUGCAACAAUUCAAGGAGAGUGACCUGUCCCACGUACAGAAUAAAAGUGCUUUCCUUUGUGGAGUGAUGAAGACUUACAGACAGAGAGAAAAACAAGGAAGUAAAGUACAAGAGUCCACUAAGGGCCCAGAUGAAGCAAAAAUAAAGGCUCUGUUGGAGAGGACCAGAUAUACCCUGGAUGUCACCACAGGGCAGAGGAAAUAUGGAGGUCCCCCGCCUGAUGAUGUGUUCAAAGGAAUACAACCAGGGAUUGGAACUGAGGUGUUUGUUGGAAAAAUCCCAAGGGAUUUAUAUGAAGAUGAGCUGGUGCCUCUGUUUGAGUCUGCUGGUCCCAUCUGGGACCUGAGGCUCAUGAUGGACCCUCUCUCUGGUCAGAAUAGAGGCUAUGCCUUCAUUACCUACUGCAAUAAGGACGAUGCACAAAAGGCUGUAAAGCUUUGUGAUAACCAUGAAAUCCGCUCUGGCAAGUACUUGGGAGUGUGUAUAUCUGUUGCAAACAAUCGCCUGUUUGUUGGAUCAAUUCCAAAGAACAAGACAAGGGAAAGUAUAUUGGAAGACUUUGGAAAAGUUACAGAGGGUCUCCAAGAGGUGAUAUUGUACCACCAGCCAGAUGACAAGAAGAAAAACCGUGGCUUCUGCUUCCUGGAGUACGAGGAUCACAAGUCCGCAGCACAGGCUCGCCGCCGCCUCAUGAGUGGCAAGGUCAAGGUGUGGGGGAACCCCGUCACUGUGGAGUGGGCCGAUCCUGUGGCCGAGCCAGACGCUGAGGUCAUGGCCAAGGUCAAGGUGCUUUUUGUGAGGAAACUGGCCACAGCAGUGACUGAAGAGCUCCUUGAAAAAACCUUCUCUCAGUUUGGAAAGCUGGAGCGAGUUAAGAAAUUGAAAGACUACGCUUUUGUCCAUUUUGAGGAAAGGGAUGCUGCCGUAAAGGCAAUGGAUGAGAUGAAUGGAAAAGAGCUAGGAGGAGAGGAAAUUGAGAUAGUUCUGGCAAAGCCUCCAGACAAGAAGAGGAAAGAGCGCCAAGCAGCUCGGCAGACCACCAGGAAUUCGGGGUAUGAUGACUACUACUACUACCCACCUCCACGCAUGCCGCCACCCGGCCGAGGCAGGGGUCGUGGUGGCCGGGGGGGGUAUGCCUAUCCACCAGAUUACUAUGGCUAUGAUGACUACUAUGAUGACUACUAUGGCUAUGACUAUCAUGACUACCGUGGUGGCUAUGAAGACCCUUACUACAGCUACGAAGAAGUGUACACCAUGAGGGGCCGUGGCGCUCGUCCCAGCAGGGGGGGGCCUCCUCCACCUAGAUCCCGUGGAGCACCCCCGGCACGAGGUCGGGGUGGCUACGCCCAAAGAGGGCCCCCCAUCGGUGGUCCAAGAGGUGGCCGAGGAGGGCGUGGUACCCCUUUCCAGCAACAGAGGGGUCGCGGUCCUCGCGGGGCCAGGGGAAAUCGCGGCGGUAACGUGGGCGGAAAGAGGAAGGCCGACGUGUUCAACCAGCCUGACUCCAAGCGCCGCCAGACCAACAACCAACAGAACUGGGGGUCCCAGCCCAUCGCCCAGCAGCCUCUGCAGCAAGGGGCCGACUAUUCCGGUGGAGAAGCAUUGAGAGCGGCACCACUAGAAUGAGGAACUCACCUGAACGGUACUCAAGGGUGAGCUAGCCUUGCACAGAGUACUGUCUCCUCUCCUGUAGCCAUUUGUAAUCACUGGAGAAACACUAGCCUUAAUUCUACUUUGUUCUUUACCUUGUUUCCUGACUAAUGUAAUGCACUACAAAUCAAGCUUAGCAGUGGGAGUGUGAUUGUGUGUGUGUUUUUUCCAGGAUAUGAAGAACACAGCUCACUAAAGUUGACUAGAAUCAUUGGAAAUGUUCAAAUUCAUUGUUCCAGCAUGCUUCUAGGUUUUUAGAGAACACAGGAGCCGUGCAUAUUUCCUUCACAGCAGUGCUUAUUUUUCCCUGAAUGCCAAUUGAAAAGUUGUGUAAAAAUUUAGAGCCAAAUGGCUGCUUCUUUUGACUGAAUUAAACAGCCAGGGGGCAUACAGUCAAGGAUUUGGUAAGCGCUAUAAAACCCUGCAAAACAUGUGUUGCCCGUCUUUGCUCAAUGCACCAAAGCCACGCCUCAGUUGUCUGCACACAUUCUGUGAAUGGAGGGUGGUGGUGGGCAUUUCCCCUCCAAUGCCACUAGAGGUAGCACCGCGAGAGAUCCAUUGUUCCUUUUAUGCGACGCUGCUUUCACUGUCCAUUUUCUGAGCUGAAACUGUGCUAAUUAAUACACAUGUAUCAAGUAGAUGAGCUGCAAUUGUAAUUUAUUCAAAUAGCUGGACGGAUCCUCAAUGAAAAACUGAUUGGAUUGGCCGGCCGAUGUUUGAAUGGCUGUGCCUCCAAAACAGAUGUCUGUACCCUUGAACGCCACCAGAUGGCAGUAGUAGUCCUCCAGUGUUCAUAAUGCACAGGUAAGACUGAAAUAGGAAGCAGUGUUGUGUAAGAAAGCUCAUUGUAUCACACAUUUUGGUAUGUAUUGCAGUGCCAUCAUUGCGUUUCCUUUCCAGUUUCUCAUGUCAGAACUGUGUCUUUAUAUGUUGCCUCUUGUCACCAGGCAGUAAAGCAGCUGCCCGCAUCCAUGUGAAUGAGUUCACACAAAUGGAAGUGACUGAUUGCUCAGUCACGAGACCGUCCUCAUCAAACUCGUUGCAGGGUUUCUCGUCCCUCCGAGUGAACUCCUUACUGGACACUUGAGGUCACGGGA
RNA transcript from Pseudoliparis swirei, 3204 nucleotides. It is a transcript of the gene named heterogeneous nuclear ribonucleoprotein R-like, with no coding region annotated. The transcript is spliced from 13 exons. Lineage: Eukaryota; Metazoa; Chordata; Actinopteri; Perciformes; Liparidae. The record is from RefSeq and is a predicted model, not a curated record.